GUUUGUGAAAGUGAAAGUUCAGCUCCGAGUGGGAUUCGGCCUGGAAAUGAGUUGAUGAAAUUACACACAGCUUCAAUUAUACAUCACAAAGGGCGAAAGAGCCCCACUGGAUGGCAGGGGAAGAAAAUGUGGAGAAACGGGAACUCUCCAGUCUUGUAAUAUGUGCGGCCUGUAAGCACGUGUGUGUGUGUGUGUGUGUUACACCUCUCCUCUGUUUUGACUUUGAAGUUGUGACUUUGUCAGGAGCAGAAGCCGAGAGCAGGAGGUGGGAAAACGGAGACUUUACCACCUGAGGGUUGAAUGCACACACGGGGGUUGGCUUUUAGCAUAUUCCUGUCUAAAUGAAAAUUUGUGAAGCAAAACAGUUUGGAAAAUAUUCUCACCUGUAUAGUCUCAGCAAUGCCCUUGAGCGCAUGUAUGUGUGAGUGUGCAUUUGCUCUCACAUACAUUAAUGAAAAAUAAGUUGCUUUUCCUCAUGUGUUGUUAACGUUUCAUGUCUUGUAUGUGUGUGUUGUGCUUCUCCUCACAUAGUCCAUGUCAAAUAUUUUAUGUCUUCCUCUGAUGUCUUUUUACUGUGGUGUAUGCAGUGUUAGAGUAAUCUUAAGAGGUACUACAAUGAUUUAAUACUGCACGGCCAUAAAAUUGCAGUACUUAAAAGAGAUAAACAUAAAACAUUGUCAAAAUCAAAGCAGCUGGGGUAUCCUCGUGACCUGGCUCAAUCACUCGAUCAUUUCCUGUUGCUAUUAUGCAGACCUCUUCCUUCCCUGUCCUUUCUCAGAAAAAAAAAUGUAGAACUGAUUUUUAAAAAUGUUCAAAAUCCUAAAUUGUUUACAUCCAUUUUUCUUCUUUCUCUCUGUUGGCAUAUUCCUGUCACUGCCACCAACAAACGAUCAGCUAAAUCGCAUUAAAUCAACAGCAGUGUGUGAAUAUCUUUGCUAGCAUAAAACAUCCUACAUUUCCCAUAAUGCAACAUUUUCGUUAACUUCUUUGACUGCAUCUUUCAAGCUUCACACCCUCUUUACUAUUUGGGAAUACACUUUUUCAUGUAUAACUCUUAUGUCUGUAGAGUACUGAGCUAAAGCUAGGAGGUGAUUAGCUUAGCUUAACUUAGCAUAAAGACUGGUAGCAGGGGGAAACAGCUAGCCUAGCUCUCUCCAAAGUUCUGCCUACCAACACCUCUAAAGCUCACCUUUUAUCGAAUAUGCACACAGAGAAAUUUACAGUUGACAGUUAUAUAAAACUACAACUUAUAAUUUUUACAUAUCAGCUUGCAUAUAGAUUGAAUAAAGAAGGCACAACAUGUUGGUCAAAGGCCAUACAGUGAUCCACAACACUGUAUGAGGAGAGAUGACAUGCAGCAGAGUCAUCGCCACAGUUCAUCUUCCUGUCCUGCACCUGCUCUGCCAUGUGUGCUAUGCGAUCUCUUCAGCCAUUUUUCAUGAAGCCUGUGACUCCCGAGUCUGCCUCUCAGGACCAUUUGAGGGGCACAGAGCUGCAUGUUGAGGUGACACCCUCCUUAGUCACUCUGGCAAUUUGUCACCUGUCCUCAAGGCUUC
This is a long non-coding RNA of Lates calcarifer (barramundi perch), 1556 nucleotides long. RefSeq lists it as uncharacterized. Lineage: Eukaryota; Metazoa; Chordata; Actinopteri; Centropomidae. The transcript is spliced from 3 exons. The record is from RefSeq and is a predicted model, not a curated record.